Molecule: ribosomal RNA, 426 nt
Filed under: Triticum aestivum (bread wheat)
Lineage: Eukaryota; Viridiplantae; Streptophyta; Magnoliopsida; Poales; Poaceae
Description: partial small subunit ribosomal RNA
Source: RNAcentral
AUGCGUGAAAAAAAGUAUGUCGGCCCGGGGAGCUUCCGGAAAGGUGGCCGGAAGCUUCAAAAGCGAGCGAGCGAGGGGGCGCGUGGGAAAGCAAUUGCAAGCAGCCGCGGCGAAAGCGACGGUGCCGCCGCCCGGAGAAAGAACCCCGUCCACGUCGUGCCGUCGGCGUACGCACGUCCGUGUACUGUCCGGCUUUGCCCCGGUCCUCUGGCGUGUGAGCUUCGCGCCCAAUUUCCCCGUCGACUUCCGCUGCCACGGCGGCAGGCGGUGUUGGUUGAUUCGGUACCACGUCGGCGCGGCAGAUGUGGCCCGGCCGGCGCCGACGGGGGCUCGAUCGGGAGAUCGAAUCGGAGAGGCCCCGUGCAGUGCAGCUGCAGCAGCCGGGAAAUUCAUUUCUCGUACCACUACCUGCGCCUGGUUCGAUGA